This is a non-coding RNA of Nylanderia fulva, 702 nucleotides long. NCBI's taxonomy places the organism in Eukaryota, Metazoa, Arthropoda, Insecta, Hymenoptera, Formicidae. The record is from RefSeq and is a predicted model, not a curated record.
UUGUGAACGCAUAUGUGGCGCAAUUACAUCAUCAAAUAUUGGUUUGAUAUAAAUACGCAGUUGAGGUAUCGAUGUAUACCAGUGCGAGGAAAAAUUAGAAACAGUGCAUCUCAAAAUAUUCGAGAAACGACAGAAUGAAGACUCUCAUAUUUGUGGCAUGUAUGUUGACAAUUUCCUAUGCGAUUAAUCUUGAAAACAUGAAGAAAUACAACAGUAUCCACACAAAAUGUAUCGAGGAAUUGAAUGCGCAGGGCGACUACCCACCGAAUGUGGUUUUGUGUAUGAUGGAAAAGUACGAACUGCUUGACGAACAGGGUUUAAUUGUUAAAGAAAAAGUUUUCAACAAUUGAACAACCUUAUUUCCGAUAAAACCAAGUUACGUCAUGCGAAAGAGUAUGUUGGCUUGUGUAUCGACCAAGCAAAUGAACGUUCAGAAAGUAACAACGAGAAAACUUUGGAAGCUAUAAAAUGCGGAACAGGAGUAGUACAUCUAUUUGAUAAAAUGGAAUAAAAAGAAAAAAUUACAUUCCUUCUUAUGAGUAAUAUUCAUAAAAUAAUAGCUUUAUAGAGAAGUCCACGCAUAAUUAAAUACUAAUAAUUCUCACUUUCUAUAUACUAAUGUAUUGUCGAGAAUUUUAAAGGUUUCUGGUCUCUUAAACUUAAAUUGUAUGCCUAUGUUUCAAUAAAAUAUGAUGUAUAAAA